This 1305-nucleotide long non-coding RNA is filed under the name Pogona vitticeps (central bearded dragon). Its description in RNAcentral is "lncRNA (ENSPVIG00000003753.1)". The record is from RNAcentral. Lineage: Eukaryota; Metazoa; Chordata; Lepidosauria; Squamata; Agamidae.
CACCCCAUUUGGCCAAUGGUGGGGCUUCGUAGCCAUGCAUUUGCACCUCCCUUGAAGACAAGUUGGACACUGGAGAGUAAGUCCUUUUCCUGCUGAAGACUAUUCCUAUUGUGAGGCUAUCUGAGUGGAUUUGCAUAUGAAAGUGACAGGCGCUCUGGUAUUUGAUAUUUGUGCUUGGCGGGAGGGAGGGACAGAACGGGUCUUUGUGUAUUUAUGGAAAAUAAACUGCUAAAGGGUGACAAGCAGUGUUGGAACUGAAGGGGCAAGAUGAAGGGGGAGACACCAAAGGAGGGAGAGAGUGAGAUGGAAAUCUGGCAGCUUUUGACAGGUACAUGGAAGGCCAAUGCCACAAUUUUCCUGCUGACUCCCUGCUUUGCCUUCAAGUGCCACCCCUCUCCCUUGUCCCCAGCAAUGGAGCAGUUAGAGAAGGUCACCGCUAAAACAUUGGUAAGGGUAAGCAUGGUAGAGGCCGAAGAGGGAGAGAGGAGGAUCUUUGCGUUAUAUGUUGCCUGACCUCAACCAACAUCUAGUCUUGAAAACUAACGGUGACUUGAAGGAAAAGCUGUUUUCACAUACCUAUUACAUUACUGAAACAUGAGCUGAAAUAUAAAAUAGACCCCAGUUCUUUGCGCACUUCAAAGUUAAAUCUACAAAUCAAUGGGACUCAGUUCAAAGAAAACAUGUUUAUGAGUAGAGUGUUAAUCUGGGAUGGAUCACUACUCCUUGUUCAGACUUCUUGCCUGUCUGCCAUGCCCCGUCUGGAAGAGUAUAGACACGUUACAUUUGUGGAAUACAACUCUCAAAAUCCCCUAGCCAUCAGGACCAGAUAGGGGAUACUGGGAGUUGUUUUUAAAAUAUUUUCCCUCCCAAGAAGUUCUUCUGAGUUUAUUGAAGAAUGAGGUAGUACUCAGAUAUGGCUUGUGACUCAAAACCCAUCCACCCUCUCUUUUUUUUCCCUGGGGAGGAAACUUGUUUUUAAUAGGGACUUAAACUUGAGGGUUGGGACUCAGAACCAAAGACUGAGACUCGGAGACUUGGAGACUUUGUACCAAAGACUUACCAACAUCCCCACUCACAACAAUCCUUGAAGGUAUGUCAAUCUGAGAAGGAGUGUGACGGGUUCAAGGUCACCUGGGCAGUUUAACGAAGCUUUGAAAUAUCUUUGACAAAGCAAGUGGUAGGAUGCUGCCUUUAAACCAGGAACACCAAAUGCCUUUGCCCCCAAUCAGGAUAACAUCAGUCUGCAUAGCCCUGCUGUUAUCAGCAGAAGACAGGUAUGUCAACAUCAGAGACAGGCUUGAUUUA